GUCAGAAAUUAAGAAUAAAACAAAUAUACAUAUAUGGAUCGCCUUUUAAAAAUAUGUUUGUUUAGUAGCGUCAAGUACAGACAAGCUGGACUGCAUUGCACCAGGACAGACUUUGAAUAAGAUUCUGUAUCAGAUAGGCGUACUAAAAGUCAGACGUCACAAAUAUCUUGACUACUGCAAAGAAUGGAAUACAAGCGGCAAUGCAUCAAAAUUUGUAUGUCGGGCGAUACUAUCGGCGAAAUUCGAUUGUACUAUCGCUAAUAUCAAUGGCUCAAAAUUGACUAUCGUCGAAUAUCGAUGGAGCCACUAGCGAUAGUUCUUCACCCCUAUGUAUAUUGAAUACCUCAAAUGUUGUUCGAUAUUUGGCUGGUUAAUGAUAAUUGCAAUUAGCUUAGUGUUUGUAAUUGUGUAUUUGGAAUCCGCUCCAAAUUUUAGUAAUUAUCGAAUUCUCUGCUCGUGAGUACGUGGUGUGGUCGUGAUAUCAUAAAUCAACGCUAACGUUUUGUCCAGAUUGCUG
This is a long non-coding RNA of Drosophila albomicans, 517 nucleotides long. RefSeq lists it as uncharacterized. The transcript has 3 exons. The record is from RefSeq and is a predicted model, not a curated record. NCBI's taxonomy places the organism in Eukaryota, Metazoa, Arthropoda, Insecta, Diptera, Drosophilidae.